CAAUAGCGUAUAUUAAAGUUGUUGCGGUUAAAAAGCUCGUAGUUGGAUUUCUGCUGAGAACGACCGGUCCGCCCUUUGGGUGUGUAUCUGGCUCUUUCUUGGCAUCUUCUUGGUGAACGUUGCUGCACUUGACUGUGUGGAGCGCUACCCAGGACUUUUACUUUGAGGAAAUUAGAGUGUUUCAAGCAGGCAUACGCCUUGAAUACAUUAGCAUGGAAUAAUAAGAUAGGACCUCGGUUCAAUUUUGUUGGUUUCUAGAGCUGAGGUAAUGAUUAAUAGGGAUAGUUGGGGGCAUUCGUAUUUAACUGUCAGAGGUGAAAUUCUUGGAUUUGUUAAAGACGGACUACUGCGAAANGANNNGCCAAGGAUGUUUUCAUNGA
RNAcentral lists this ribosomal RNA (380 nucleotides) under uncultured eukaryote. RNAcentral's name for it is "partial 18S ribosomal RNA". It matches the Rfam family "Eukaryotic small subunit ribosomal RNA", at positions 592 to 976 of the family's 1831-position model. The record is from RNAcentral.